Molecule: ribosomal RNA, 252 nt
Filed under: uncultured bacterium
Lineage: Bacteria
Description: partial 16S ribosomal RNA
Rfam family: Bacterial small subunit ribosomal RNA
Source: RNAcentral
UACGAAGGGGGCUAGCGUUGCUCGGAAUCACUGGGCGUAAAGGGUGCGUAGGCGGGUCUUUAAGUCAGGGGUGAAAUCCUGGAGCUCAACUCCAGAACUGCCUUUGAUACUGAAGAUCUUGAGUUCGGAGAGGUGAGUGGAACUGCGAGUGUAGAGGUGAAAUUCGUAGAUAUUCGCAAGAACACCAGUGGCGAAGGCGGCUCACUGGCCCGAUACUGACGCUGAGGCACGAAAGCGUGGGGAGCAAACGGG